RNAcentral lists this non-coding RNA (25 nucleotides) under Mus musculus (house mouse). Lineage: Eukaryota; Metazoa; Chordata; Mammalia; Rodentia; Muridae. The record is from RNAcentral.
UGCUUCUCUCUAAAUAAGAUGGACC